RNA transcript from Orcinus orca (killer whale), 3830 nucleotides. It is a transcript of the gene named peroxisome proliferator-activated receptor gamma, with no coding region annotated. The transcript is spliced from 16 exons. The record is from RefSeq and is a predicted model, not a curated record. Lineage: Eukaryota; Metazoa; Chordata; Mammalia; Artiodactyla; Delphinidae.
CCCGCCCGCCCCCGGCCCGGCCUGGCUCAGCGGCUGCAGGCGGGGCCGACCGCACUCGGAGCCCGAGCCGGAGCCGCCGCCGCCUAGGGCGCUGGGUCGGCCACCGGGACACCGGAGCGGACCGCUAGGCUACCGCCGCAGAUUUGAAAGAAGCCAACUCGAAGCCACAGACAUACAAGAAGGCCAUUUCCUUAAACAAGAGUUGCCCUUUAACGAAAUUACCAUGGUGGACACAGAGAUGCCGUUUUGGCCCACCAACUUCGGGAUCAGCUCCGUGGACCUUUCUGUGAUGGACGACCACUCCCACUCCUUUGACAUCAAGCCCUUCACCACCGUUGAUUUCUCCAGCAUUUCCGCUCCACACUAUGAAGACAUUCCGUUCCCAAGAGCUGACCCAAUGGUUGCGGAUUAUAAGUAUGACCUGAAACUCCAAGAGUACCAAAGUGCAAUCAAAGUGGAGCCUGCAUCCCCACCUUACUAUUCUGAAAAGACUCAGCUGUACAAUAAGCCUCACGAAGAGCCUUCCAACUCCCUCAUGGCAAUUGAAUGCCGUGUCUGCGGGGAUAAAGCUUCAGGGUUCCACUACGGAGUUCAUGCUUGUGAAGGAUGCAAGGGUUUCUUCCGGAGGACAAUCAGAUUGAAGCUUAUUUAUGAUAGGUGUGAUCUUAACUGUCGGAUCCACAAAAAAAGUAGAAAUAAAUGUCAGUACUGUCGUUUUCAGAAGUGCCUUGCUGUGGGGAUGUCUCAUAAUGCCAUCAGGUUUGGGCGGAUGCCACAGGCCGAGAAGGAGAAGCUGUUGGCGGAGAUCUCCAGUGAUAUCGACCAGCUGAACCCAGAGUCUGCUGAUCUCCGGGCCCUGGCAAAACAUUUGUAUGACUCGUACAUAAAGUCCUUCCCGCUGACGAAAGCAAAGGCGAGGGCGAUCUUGACAGGAAAGACAACAGACAAAUCACCAUUUGUUAUCUAUGACAUGAAUUCCUUAAUGAUGGGAGAAGAUAAAAUCAAGUUCAAGCACAUCACCCCCUUGCAGGAGCCAAGCAAAGAAGUGGCCAUCCGCAUCUUUCAGGGGUGUCAGUUCCGUUCCGUGGAGGCUGUGCAGGAGAUCACAGAGUAUGCCAAGAGUAUUCCUGGGUUUGUAAAUCUUGACUUGAAUGACCAAGUAACUCUCCUAAAAUACGGCGUCCAUGAGAUCAUUUACACGAUGCUGGCCUCCUUGAUGAAUAAAGAUGGGGUUCUCAUAUCCGAGGGCCAAGGAUUCAUGACGAGGGAGUUUUUAAAGAGCCUGCGAAAGCCCUUUGGUGACUUUAUGGAGCCCAAGUUCGAGUUUGCUGUGAAGUUCAAUGCACUGGAAUUAGAUGACAGCGACUUGGCAAUAUUUAUAGCUGUCAUUAUUCUCAGUGGAGUCUUUAAAGAACAGUUACCUUGGAAAAUGGCAGAGGCAGUGUUCCGUCCCCCAAAGAGGAAAAGAAGAGUGUAUGAGAGCUAUGAGUCUCCACUGCCGAUCCCUUUCGGUCAGGACUGUGGUCCUGAGAAGGACUUUAGAAUAUUCCGGGCCGAGAUGAUAAACAACAACGUGAUUGUGAGGAACGCAGAAGAUAUGGAACAGCUGUAUGGGAAGGGUUAUUUUGGAAAAGGUAUCCUGUCCAGAAGCCGUCCAAACUUCACAACUUCAGAUCCUAAGCUGGUUGCUAAAUGGAAAGAUGUGAAGACAGACAUGCCUGUAAUCACGUCAAAAAAGUAUCAGCGUAGCGUGGAAUGGGCCACAAACCUCAUGCGAAGACAAGGCCAGGAUGAGAGCACAGUGCGUAGACUCCUUGAGGAUUACACAAAGCCCCUUCAGCAUCUUUGUCUGCAAAGGAAUGAAGAGGUCCAGUUGUGUAAUGAGCUGAAUUCUGAAAUGGUUUCCAAAACGGAAGGCACAGCAGAUAGAGAGAAACUUUCUGCCAUGAAUGGGGUUGCAGGAAAGUCACACGAUCUGGAGGAUCCCAGCAAGCGAUCAGACUGCCUGCAUGACUCCAGGCCUGACCCGAUACCUACCCACGGCUCGGGUGAACAUGUGGCGGAGGUCACCGCUCCUCUGCCCCAUGUGCACUGGGGCAAACAGGAUGUUCUCCUCCCGCCCUCUGGUGCUCAGCCUGGGGACAGCAGCCAACGAGCGGGUCUGGUCCUGGCCAGAGAGAGAGGGCCUGAGCAUCACUGCGUGCUGGUGGAGGAAGUCGUGUGUGACGUGAGUGAGAGGGAAGACGCCUCAGGUGGGAACAUGUCGCCAAAAAAGAGACUGAUAUGCAGAAGAAAUCCAUUUAGGAUCUUUGAGUACUUGCAGCUCAGCCUGGAAGAGGCCUUCUUCCUGGUCUAUGCUCUGGGAUGUCUAAGUAUCUACUAUGAGAAGGAGCCUUUAACAAUUGUGAAGCUCUGGAACGCCUUCCGCGUAGUUCAGCCUACGUUCAGGACUACGUACAUGGCGUACCAUCACUUCCGAAGCAAGGGCUGGGUACCCAAACCGGGCCUUAAGUACGGAACAGAUUUGCUUACUCUGUCAUCAUCGAGCUGGUGGAUGACCGUUUUGAGGGCUCUCCUCGCAGACCUCUCAGCUGGCGGUCCCUGGCCGCCCUGAGCAGAGUUUCAGUCAGUGUCUCCAAGGUAACACCGCCUCAGCUUUGGGGUUCAUGUGUCAUUUAAAUGGUUGGAUUUUUCGUCUUAAUUGUGGUAGAAGCAUGAAAGUCACGUGUAGGGACCGCAGAGCAUCUGCGUGAACGAAGCUCUGGAAGCUGGCCCCCCUCUCCGUUGUCCCCCACCAGCUCCACAGCUCCAGGGGUGGAGCUCCGAGGUUUCCCACGGGGAUGGGUGUCAGUGGGCAUUGCCUUCCUUCCUGGGGGCCAGCCCAACCAGCACGUGCUCAGAAUCCACUCCCACUCAUUCACAGACGACUCAAAAAACACUGACGUGUUUGUUUUUUCAUAGGUAGCAGAUCUCUCAAAGAGAGAGAGGAAGGGAAUUAGUAUUUAUCGCUAAACACCUUAUGUCUUUUCUCACUACCCUGUUAUUAUCCUCAUCCGAAGGGUGAGGAAUCAGAGUCAGAGAUGUUGGGUGACCAGUCCAAGAACACACAGCUCAUGAGCAGAGCUGGGAUUCAAACCCAGAGCCACAUGACUGCCCCACCUGUGUUCUCCGAUAUCCCACUGCCGUCAAGUUAGAAGGGACAUUUCGUCUCAUACCAGGACUACGAAGAAUGGCAGUUUUGUGUGUUCUCUGCUACUCAGUAACUCUCUGAGUUCUCCUUCCCACAGCUGCUGGAGGCGUGCAGGGCGUUGAGGCCGGAAGGGCCAGCAGGGCCAGAUGGCGGCUGCCUGGGCGCAGGCUACGUUGCUUAGGCUUUAUCCUGUGCGAGUCACUGUGUCCUAGAGAAAUAGGGGUCUAAACCGUUUCCAGUAUUGAAUAUUUUAAACGCUGUGUUUAUAAUCAGCAUAUGUGCUCUGUUUGCAUUCUCCUGCCAUGUCAACGAUGACUGAACGGCAGGUCUUUGGUCCGGAGUGGGGCCUGGUUACGUUCCCGGGAGGGAACGGACAUGCUUUGUGAGCUUCGGGCAGCACACACUGAGAGGGGGUGGAGGCGGCCGCGUUUCCUGCCCAGAUUUGGAUUUGUUUUGUGGGAUACGGAGUUUGUUUUUCAUGUCUCAAUAGGAAUUUAUGCUGUGCUAUUUGAUUAAACCCUCCACCAUGACUGACAAAGAAAUGGAGUCACCAGAAUGCAUGAAACAAAUUAAAGUUCAGGAGGUGAUUCUAAGCCGUUGGGUUUCUUCACGGGAGAGGAGCGAUCAAGACGAACUUUAA